RNAcentral lists this ribosomal RNA (572 nucleotides) under Saccharomyces cerevisiae (brewer's yeast). RNAcentral's name for it is "partial large subunit ribosomal RNA". It matches the Rfam family "Eukaryotic large subunit ribosomal RNA", at positions 84 to 745 of the family's 3401-position model. Lineage: Eukaryota; Fungi; Ascomycota; Saccharomycetes; Saccharomycetales; Saccharomycetaceae. The record is from RNAcentral.
UAACGGCGAAGUGAAGCGGCAAAAGCUCAAAUUUGAAAUCCCCCGGGAAUUUGUAAUUUGAAGAGAUUUGGGUCCGGCCGGCGGGGGUUAAGUCCACUGGAAAGUGGCGCCACAGAGGGUGACAGCCCCGUGAACCCCUUCAAAGCCCUCAUCCCAGAUCUCCAAGAGUCGAGUUGUUUGGGAAUGCAGCUCUAAGUGGGUGGUAAAUUCCAUCUAAAGCUAAAUACCGGCGAGAGACCGAUAGCGAACAAGUACAGUGAUGGAAAGAUGAAAAGCACUUUGAAAAGAGAGUGAAAAAGUACGUGAAAUUGUUGAAAGGGAAGGGCUUGCAAGCAGACACUUAACUGGGCCAGCAUCGGGGCGGCGGGAAACAAAACCACCGGGGAAUGUACCUUUCGAGGAUUAUAACCCCGGUCUCUAUUUCCAUGUUGCCCCGAGGCCUGCAAUCUAAGGAUGCUGGCGUAAUGGUUGCAAGUCGCCCGUCUUGAAACACGGACCAAGGAGUCUAACAAUCAUGCAAGUGUUUGGGCCCAAAACCCAUACGCGCAAUGAAAGUAACCGGAGCGAACCUU